UUCUGGUUGAUCCUGCCGGAGGUUACUGCUAUUGGAAUCCGAUUAAGCCAUGCGAGUCGAUCGGGUCAGACCCGAGGCGCACUGCUCAGUAACACGUGGAGAAUCUGCCCUUAGGUGAGGAAUAACCUCGGGAAACUGAGAAUAAUACCUCAUAGGUUAUGGAUGCUGGAAUGCUUCAUAGCCCAAAGCCCCGGCGCCUAAGGAUGACUCUGCGGACUAUCAGGUAGUAGUCAGGGUAACGACCUGACUAGCCUACGACGGAUACGGGGUGUGAGAGCACUAGCCCGGAGAUGGAUUCUGAGACACGAAUCCAGGCCCUACGGGGUGCAGCAGGCGCGAAACUUCCGCAAUGCUCGACAGAGUGACGGAGGGAUUCCAAGUGCCUAUGCUAUGCGUAGGCUGUUUUUAUGUCUAAAUAACAUGGAGAGUAAGAGCUGGGUAAGACGGGUGCCAGCCGCCGCGGUAA
Molecule: ribosomal RNA, 466 nt
Filed under: uncultured archaeon
Lineage: Archaea
Description: bacterial SSU rRNA
Rfam family: Archaeal small subunit ribosomal RNA
Source: RNAcentral